Molecule: non-coding RNA, 116 nt
Organism: Jeotgalibacillus malaysiensis
Lineage: Bacteria; Bacillati; Bacillota; Bacilli; Caryophanales; Caryophanaceae
Source: Rfam
UCUAGUGAUGAUAGCGAAGAGGUCACACCCGUUCCCAUGCCGAACACGGAAGUUAAGCUCUUCAGCGCCGAUGGUAGUUGGGGGUUUCCCCCUGUGAGAGUAGGACGUCGCUAGGC